Molecule: ribosomal RNA, 451 nt
Filed under: uncultured bacterium
Lineage: Bacteria
Description: bacterial SSU rRNA
Rfam family: Bacterial small subunit ribosomal RNA
Source: RNAcentral
GUCGAGAGGCUUCGGCAAUGGGGGAAACCCUGACCGAGCGACGCCGCGUGGAGGAUGAAGGCCUUCGGGUUGUAAACUCCUUUUGUUCGGGAAGAAACACGACCAGGUGAACAAUCUGGUCGUCUGACGGUACCGGACGAAUAAGCUCCGGCUAACUCCGUGCCAGCAGCCGCGGUAACACGGGGGGAGCAAGCGUUGUUCGGAAUCACUGGGCGUAAAGGGCGUGUAGGCGGUCAGGUAAGUGGGAUGUGAAAUGCCCCGGCUCACCCGGGGAUCUGCAUUCCAAACUGCUUGGCUUGAGUAUGGGAGAGGAUGAGGGAAUUCCUGGUGUAGCGGUGAAAUGCGUAGAUAUCAGGAGGAACACCGGUGGCGAAGGCGCUCAUCUGGCCCAAUACUGACGCUGAGGCGCGAAAGCUAGGGGAGCAAACGGGAUUAGAUACCCCAGUAGUCC